Molecule: long non-coding RNA, 723 nt
Organism: Triticum dicoccoides
Lineage: Eukaryota; Viridiplantae; Streptophyta; Magnoliopsida; Poales; Poaceae
Exons: 2
Source: RefSeq, a predicted model, not a curated record
ACCACACCUCAGAUUAUUCAAUUCAAGCUUUCACAAUGGCCUGCAAGAUAGCACUAGUAGUCUUUGUCUAUAUCUGUGUUAGCAUUCUUCCUCUGCCUUGGUACUGCCGAAGCUGACCCACGAUGCCUGUACAAGGUUAAUCCUUACUAUCAUGGUAGCUGCGAGAGAACCCUUAUGACGAGAAUUGUCGAAUUGCUUGUAUUAGAUUUGAGCCACCAAAGUACAGGGGUGGUAUGUGUUCUAUUCAAAGUUUUAAAUAGCGCGCUAAGACUCUUAGCGGCGGACCUUUUCUAAAUGCUAUAGCGUGCUAUAGCGGUGCUAUAGCGCGCUAUUUAAAAUGUUUGCUCUUGUGUUUGGACAAAAGACCCUUAGCGCAGGACCUUUUCUAAAUGCUAUAGCGUGCUAUAGCGGAGCUAUAGCGCGCUAUUUAAAAUAGGGGUUCUAUUGGACAAUGCUUCUGCUAUACAUGUUAAUGAUCAUCGGACUAUUCCAUCGCUAGGGGAGCCAUAAAGAUACAUCACCACCAUGGAAAGAUUAGAGCUCCUAGGAAGAUUGCUUUUUUGGUUGUAUCAGAAUAAAUUGGCAAUGUAUGUGACUGUGCUUUAGCAAGUAUCUGUUUCCGAUGAGUUACGACGAAGAGUUUCCAAUCGACUUAAAUUUUUCUCCUAGUAUCUCCGAGCACCAAGAUGCAAAUAAUACAUGUGCGGCAACCGGCUUUUGUCU